Non-coding RNA from Vicugna pacos (alpaca), 468 nucleotides. Lineage: Eukaryota; Metazoa; Chordata; Mammalia; Artiodactyla; Camelidae. The record is from RefSeq and is a predicted model, not a curated record.
GGGCUCGGACACUCCUGGGUUACAUACACACAUUCCCAACUGCCAGAGGCCCCGAGAUACCUAACAGGAGUGGUCUUUUCUUCCUUAGAUCCACAGGAUUAUUCAAAAUACCCAACCCCAGGAAGCCCACAAAACCUUGCUACUCCACCCUGCUUGUCAUACAUAGCUGCCUUCUAUGGCUCUAGCAUGUUGCUACCCUGUAUGGCCCUGCAAGGAAGCCUUCUUUCAUCUGGAGCUGUCUCACCUGCAGAGGUAUGAACUGAUUGUGCACACCAGCUGGCAUUCCCCCAGCCAUGGGCAUGGUCCCGGCGUAUGAAGUAUGAUGGAAGGGCUUCCCAGGAACUGGCACUGGUGGUCCCCAUGGCAUUGAGCCAAAGAGAUGAGAUGAUGAAGGCAUUAUAUUAGCUGUUAAAAAUCACAGAAAAGCUCUGUCUUAAUAAACAGUAUCAUUAAAGCCCUGAACUUUAA